UGACGAUUCAAACUGUCGUCCGCGAUC
RNAcentral lists this small RNA (27 nucleotides) under Bombyx mori (domestic silkworm). RNAcentral describes it as "ovarian small RNA-8127". Lineage: Eukaryota; Metazoa; Arthropoda; Insecta; Lepidoptera; Bombycidae. The record is from RNAcentral.